CCUACGGGAGGCAGCAGUGAGGAAUAUUGGUCAAUGGGCGGAAGCCUGAACCAGCCAAGUAGCGUGCGGGAUGAAGGCCCUACGGGUCGUAAACCGCUUUUGCACGGGGAUAACACCCUCCACUUGUGGAGGUCUGCAGGUACCAUGCGAAUAAGGGCCGGCUAAUUCCGUGCCAGCAGCCGCGGUAAUACGGAAGGCCCGAGCGUUAUCCGGAUUCAUUGGGCUUAAAGGGAGCGUAGGCGGGCGUUCAAGUCAGCUGUAAAAUCGCGCGGCUCAACCGCGCCCCGCAGUUGAAACUGGACGCAUUGAGUUCACAACAGGCAGGCGGAAUUCGUGGUGUAGCGGUGAAAUGCAUAGAUAUCACGAGGAACCCCGAUUGCGAAGGCAGCCUGCCGGGGUGCGACUGACGCUGAGGCUCGAAGGUGCGGGUAUCAAACAGGAUUAGAUACCCCAGUAGUC
Molecule: ribosomal RNA, 459 nt
Filed under: uncultured bacterium
Lineage: Bacteria
Description: partial 16S ribosomal RNA
Rfam family: Bacterial small subunit ribosomal RNA
Source: RNAcentral